GAUGAAGAACGCAGCGAAAUGCGAUACGUAAUGUGAAUUGCAAAUUCAGUGAAUCAUCGAGUCUUUGAACGCACAUUGCGCCCCCUGGUAUUCCGGGGGGCAUGCCUGUCCGAGCGUCAUUGCUGCCCUCAAGCACGGCUUGUGUGUUGGGCCCCGUCCUCCGAUCCCGGGGGACGGGCCCGAAAGGCAGCGGCGGCACCGCGUCCGGUCCUCGAGCGUAUGGGGCUUUGUCACCCGCUCUGUAGGCCCGGCCGGCGCUUGCCGAUCAACCCAAAUUUUUAUCCAGGUUGACCUCGGAUCAGGUAGGGAUACCCGCUGAACUUAAGCAUAUCAAUAAGCGGGA
This 343-nucleotide unclassified non-coding RNA is filed under the name soil metagenome. RNAcentral describes it as "partial contains 5.8S ribosomal RNA, internal transcribed spacer 2, and large subunit ribosomal RNA". The stretch from base 1 to 119 matches the Rfam family "5.8S ribosomal RNA", at positions 35 to 154 of the family's 154-position model. The record is from RNAcentral.